UUCCUGUCUCAAAAGAAAUCAAAUCAAAUUAAAUUGGAAGUUUUAACAUCUUUUGCUUCCUCUUUAAUCACCGAAAUUCCUCUAUCUAAGGAAUAAGACACAAAAAUUGCUGCUCUAACUUUGUCUAGGGGGAGAAAAAGGCCAAGAAGCUAAGCUACCUCUCUACCGAAACUCACAGAACUGGCUCUCCUCCUUAUAGUUCUAGUGCAGACAAUUGUUGCAAAUCUAACAGCAAAAGGCUUCUGCCAGUCCUCUCGGUACUAAUCCUUUAAGUUCAGUUUUUGAUAAAUUAUGUCAAUUGGAAUCGGUCUAAAUAGCUUCCUAGGGUUGCUGGCAACAUGUGGGACUUCUUACACCUCUUGCAGUCUGGAGCCACAAAGAACAAUUUCUAAAAAAUCUUUAGUAUGCUCUCUAGGAUUAGGAGGAAUCCGAAAAUUCCCAGAUCUGCGAUGCCAUCAGCAGCAGAGGUAAUUUACUAGGAAAACAAGCUCAAGCCGCAGAGGCAAAGGUUGAUUUUCAGGUUGGCUUCCUUACCUGUCAUCUUCCUCUUGACGCGCAAACAUUUUUAAAUGUCCAAGGGGUGAUUCAGCAAGUUACAAAGACAAGAAGCCCUAGGGAGGAAAAUAUAGUUUUCUUCACAACCUGGUCAACCUUCUCUAUUACAUAUUUCCUUUAAGCACAGUAAUCGCUUUUGUUUUCACAUUACCAACUCCCCUCAUUGCUCCUUCCUAUAUCUUUUUAAAUCAAGUCUCUAGAAUUUUACAAAUGAAAACCUAACCAAAUCCCCUAUUGUUACUGUUAUGAGUGACACCUGUCAUACAUUGGAGCCAACAUCCCCUCUUUUCUCUGGUGCAGCAGACAGACAUUUGAUGUCAAAUACAACAGGAUAAAAUGGAAAGUACAUGGAAGAAGAAACAUAUAUGUUGUUCCUAGCUGACACUACAAUGUAAAAAGGGUGCAAGUUGUCAGCAAGUCAGCCUCCAUGGGAGUCAGAGCAGUUACCAAAUGGGGAAAAGGGAGCAGAAAGAAGAGCAGCUGCUAAGGCCUGUAGGUGAGGAAGGCCAAGUCCAUGUACCUUCCAGGAAAAGAUAUCAGAGCAAGAAGCCUGAGGGGAGCUUGGCCCACAGAAGUUUCUAUCUCUCUCCGUGCUUCAAGGCCUACAUAGCUCAUGUAAGUGUGCCCGCUCCUGAGGAGUUGGAGGGGAGACAAGCCAGUUGGCUGUCUCCUUUCUGGCCCCAGGGGCUGGAAGUCCUAACUGCAGGGGCUUUCUCACAGUGCAAUAGACUAAAACCUACCUGGAACUCCUGUACCAACCCAUAGGUGAAGAGACCAUCAGUCUUCGCAGCUCUGGGGGUUCUCCCCACUUAAGGUAUCCUAGCAACUGGACCGGAGGCCCAUUGAGCAGACAAGGGAAAAUAACAACACAUGUAAGGGAGCCCGGAAGUCAGAGAGGAGAAAAAGUGUCUCAGAAUUUUCCCUAAAAAGGAUGACUCCUAAUGAUAACUAGCCAACACAUUUAUGUAAC
This is a non-coding RNA of Macaca mulatta (Rhesus monkey), 1525 nucleotides long. The record is from RefSeq and is a predicted model, not a curated record. Lineage: Eukaryota; Metazoa; Chordata; Mammalia; Primates; Cercopithecidae.